GACCAGUGGCUGAGUUGGUAAGGCCUAGCGAUAGCGAUACAGCGAUACAGCGUUAAUAUCAAUACUCUAUAUCUAUACUCUAUAUCGUUAGGCGCGGGGGUUCGAUUCCCUCGUUGGCCA
Molecule: non-coding RNA, 120 nt
Organism: Xylaria telfairii
Lineage: Eukaryota; Fungi; Ascomycota; Sordariomycetes; Xylariales; Xylariaceae
Source: the annotation of a GenBank genome assembly